This 343-nucleotide unclassified non-coding RNA is filed under the name soil metagenome. RNAcentral's name for it is "partial contains 5.8S ribosomal RNA, internal transcribed spacer 2, and large subunit ribosomal RNA". The stretch from base 1 to 120 matches the Rfam family "5.8S ribosomal RNA", at positions 35 to 154 of the family's 154-position model. The record is from RNAcentral.
GAUGAAGAACGUAGCGAAAUGCGAUAAGUAAUGUGAAUUGCAGAAUUCAGUGAAUCAUCGAAUCUUUGAACGCACAUUGCGCCCGCCAGCAUUCUGGCGGGCAUGCCUGUUCGAGCGUCAUUUCAACCCUCGAGCCCCCCCGGGGGCCUCGGUGUUGGGGGACGGCACACCAGCCGCCCCCGAAAUGCAGUGGGGACCCCGCCGCAGCCUCCCCUGCGUAGUAGCACACACCUCGCACCGGAGCGCGGAGGCGGUCACGCCGUAAAACGCCCAACUUUCUUAGAGUUGACCUCGGAUCAGGUAGGAAUACCCGCUGAACUUAAGCAUAUCAAUAAGCGGAGGA